RNAcentral lists this ribosomal RNA (1127 nucleotides) under Chamaecyparis thyoides subsp. henryae. Its description in RNAcentral is "eukaryotic LSU rRNA". The stretch from base 744 to 897 matches the Rfam family "5.8S ribosomal RNA". The record is from RNAcentral. Lineage: Eukaryota; Viridiplantae; Streptophyta; Pinopsida; Cupressales; Cupressaceae.
CAUUGUCGCUUCCGGUCCCUGAACUGUGUAGGGGAAGUAGACUAGCACGGCAAGUCCCAGCUCGUUUCUCCCCGCCCCCCGGAAUUCUGACGACSUGCGGACGCCGGGUUGCGUAGCCUCGUGCUGCGCCGCGCCCGCUCUAAGCCUAGCGCCGUCUGGGUCGAGGGGUGAAUGAAUGCCGUGGUUGAAUGCAUGUACUCACUACCGGGAGAGGGGAACAGUGUCCGAUCUGGUUUGCGACUUGUGCCGUCCGAACGGCUGGCCUGACGUCCGGAAGGAAUGGUCUUGUCCAGUCGCAAUCAGGGGAGAUCCGAGCCUUUGACCCCUAGAGGCCGCAUGCUUCGAUUGCGUGCGCGGCGCUGUGCCAGGGAUCCGUCGUUACGACGAUGGCAAGUCGGGACUGCCGCAACCCCCCGUUGCGUUGCUCAGGUGGCAACACGCCGAUUGGGGUGAACUCUGUCUAGGAUGGGUGCACUCGCAUGUUUGCGGGACAGGACCCCCGUUCGAAAACACGAUUCUCCCGAGGCGGUGCCCACUUUUGCGAGGCGAUGGGGCGGGGACACACUUCAUCGUUCUUCACCCUUCGUUUAGAGAGGCAGAGCCUCUCUCAUUCUUGGGUGCCGGAUGAUGGGACGUGUCAACACCCAACACGGGGUGCACCACGCACCUUUGAAAUCCAAGAACUGAAUGGCGAUUCAAGUGCCUUGUGCGUUUGGGUCGACAAGAAAAGAAAAAACAAAAACGACUCUCGGCAACGGAUAUCUCGGCUCUCGCCACGAUGAAGAAUGUAGCGAAAUGCGAUACUUAGUGUGAAUUGCAGAAUCCCGUGAAUCAUCGAGUCUUUGAACGCAAGUUGCGCCCGAGGCCUCGGCCAAGGGCACGUCUGCUUGGGCGUCGCACUCCAAUUUCGUCCCCCCUUCGGGGAGGAGCGUAGAUGGCCGUCCGUGUCCGGUUGUGGUGCGGUCGGCUGAAAUGAGCACGAGGUCCGUCGACCCGUCGCGACGAGCGGUGGCCUAUGAAGGUCGGCGUUGGUUUUGCGCGGUUCGAGGGAGGCCGAGUGUGGAACUUUAAAUCGGCCACAGCGGCCUGCCAUAGUGCGGGCACGUUUGGCCCCUAAACCCGCGUCC